CGGCAAACGGGUGAGUAACGCGUGAGAAACCUGUCUUUCACAAAGGGAUAGCCUCGGGAAACCGGGAUUAAUACCUUAUGAUACUAAAGUAAUGCAUAUUACCUUAGUUAAAGUGUAAAACGGUGAUAGAGGGUCUCGCGUCCCAUUAGCUAGUUAGUAAGAUAAAAGCUUACCAAGGCAAUGAUGGGUAACCGGCCUGAGAGGGUGAACGGUCACACUGGAACUGAGACACGGUCCAGACUUCUACGGGAGGCAGCAGUGGGGAAUAUUGCACAAUGGAGGAAACUCUGAUGCAGCGACGUCGCGUGAACGAUGAAGGCUUUCGAGUCGUAAAGUUCUGUCUUUAGGGACGAUAAUGACGGUACCUAAAGAGGAAGCCCCGGCUAACUACGUGCCAGCAGCCGCGGUAAUACGUAGGGGGCGAGCGUUGUCCGGAUUUAUUGGGCGUAAA
This 451-nucleotide ribosomal RNA is filed under the name uncultured bacterium. RNAcentral describes it as "bacterial SSU rRNA". It matches the Rfam family "Bacterial small subunit ribosomal RNA", at positions 96 to 564 of the family's 1533-position model. The record is from RNAcentral.